CUGAAACAGUUGAACUUGACAAAUAACAAAUUCAGUGGACAAAUACCUUCCUGGCUUGGAGAAAAUGACACAAUAAAAAUUUAUGCUUCUGGUAAUCCAGGUUUGUGUGGAUUGGAGAUACCAUGUUCAAGYCCACAGGGCAACAAUGUUACAGACAGUGUACAGGAAAUGAAGAGUGGAGAAAUGCUUAUAAUAAUCCUUGGAAUUAUAAUUCCAAUCUUCUUUGUUUAUGAUUGAAUCAGGUCAUCAGCUAUUCUAACUUGCCAAUUUUUUUUUUUUUUUC
Molecule: non-coding RNA, 283 nt
Organism: Nelumbo nucifera (sacred lotus)
Lineage: Eukaryota; Viridiplantae; Streptophyta; Magnoliopsida; Proteales; Nelumbonaceae
Source: RefSeq, a predicted model, not a curated record